CUCGCACUCGCGCCACCCAGCUCUUCGUCUUUCUCCCGCGUCACCUCCCUCUCUCCCUCCAACCCUAGACCCGCGCCCGUCUCCCUGCCCCGCCGCCGUCCAGAUCCAACCCCACCCCGCCGUCAUUCUCCUUCGCCCAGACCAAUCCCAUCUCAACCUCCCUCGAUCUUUCUCUCUCAAAAAAAACCUCCCCCGAUCUCCCGUACAUCCCCUGUCAUCGCGCCGCUGCCGUCGCUGCCGCUCGCCUCAGCCCCCGUCCCUGACCUCACGCUGCCCGGCGCCUCCUCCCCACACCGAGGACCUCCCCUUGCUCCGCCUCUUCUUCCUAUCCGGCUAGAACUGCGGCGCACGGCCUCUCAUGCUCGCUCGCGACCCUCAGCCGUGUCUAGGGUUUCGGGCUGGGCAGCGCCUUCGCCGCCGGCGCGGCUCCGGUGGGCUCUGACGACUCCUCUCCGUCUCCUCCCUCGCCCCCACGUGCGGUUCCACUUCCCGCUGGCCACGAGGUGCAGCCUUGCAGGGGCGCAUCAGGCUGGGUCGCCUCUGUUUCUGAUUUGGUGCAGCAGACGUUGUGGGGUUGAGGUGUUCUUGGACGAUUUGCUUAAGGUUGUCAGUACAUCUUAUAACUAGGUCACUUCCACUGGAUCUUUCUGUUAACAAGCAGCUAGACCCAAGUGUGUGUGUAUGAUGCUGUUGGGUUGUUGACAUGGCGCGUGGUCCGGUUGCGGCUCAUGCUUAAGCCACAGUCGAGCCUCGUGUUGGGUUGGUAGGUGGUCGUGGGCGUGACCGUGGGCGGUCUGCUGGUCGUCGUGGUCGAGCCACUGGCCGUGGAGGUUCUAAUCUAGGGCGUGCCCCUGUUUCUGAUCAUGUCGCUGCUUGCCGGGACAGGCGUAGGGGUAUGAGUCGGUGGAUGCCUGCUACUGGAGCUGAGUCUGUCGCCAGGCGUGAGCGUGGCGCUCGGCAGGUGCCUGCUGCUGGGCGUGGCACCAUACCUCGGUCAAGUGGUAGGGGUGUUCGUAGUGCUGAUUAUGGGCAUGCAGCUGCUGCUAUACAUGUGUCCGUCCCUGGUCGUGCUGCUGAUCCUGGGCACGACGCCGCUUCUGUGCAUGUGUCUAUCCCUGGUUGUGCUGCUGGUCCUGGGUACACCGCUGCUCCUAGGCGUGUGUUGGUCCUUGGGAUUGCUUGAUAAUUUGUGGAUGCUUGAUAAUUUGUCCAGGUAGAGAUCCACCACUGAUGACACAAGUCUGCUACCCUGCUCCUGUGAAGGUCACUGAAGGCCUGCGCCUCCCACCGUGGUAUCCUCUCUCAACUUGCACCUCUUCAUGAUAACAAGAUGGUUUCUGGCAAACAAUUAUCAGGAACUUCAGCUAGGUAUGAAGCACAAUAAAGGUGGCAAUAAGAUGUGCGGGCAAUUAUCUGUGUUUUCGUGACCAUGCUGAUGUGGAGCUGCCAUUGAGGCACAUUUUGCCUCCGAGAUAUCAAACCCUCCAACCUCCAUUUUCUUUAGGAUUGUCCCGAGCCCAUCUCACCUCGGUCUUCUCUCCCCCAUGGAUUUGAUUGUGUGCAUGGAUGAGGAAAGAGUCAUUACACGAGGUGUUGGUGGAGACGGAGGUUGAGUGGACGACCGACAUACACAGCUUCAUCUAUAACUGCCUCUAUGGCUUCCUCGACCUCAAUGUUAGCCUCCCUGCUUCACUACUGCAAAAGGGUUUGCAGCUUUGUGUGGUGAUGGCCCUGCCCCUGGCCAAUAUCGAUGCACAUAGGAGUGAUCUUUGGCUAUGGAGGCGUAUCUUCGGAUGGUCUACAACAGUGUCCUGUUUCUCUGCUGGCUCCGAUUAUGUUACGUCAUGUUGGUUGGCAUACAUUUAUUUCUGUAUUUGGCACUUCUGGUUGGCUAAUGUUGUUAUGUUGUCCAAGGAAACACAAUACUUACGUUGGUGUCUACGACAGACUUUUGUUGUUCUACUGCCUGUACCCUGUUCGUCUAGAAGAUGAAGGGGAUGGAUGCAAACUUAUGUAUGCAAUGCCAGGAUGAUCAUGGUAGCUUAUGUGAUUGUCGCUGGUCUUCU
This is a long non-coding RNA of Triticum aestivum (bread wheat), 2066 nucleotides long. RefSeq lists it as uncharacterized. Lineage: Eukaryota; Viridiplantae; Streptophyta; Magnoliopsida; Poales; Poaceae. The record is from RefSeq and is a predicted model, not a curated record. The transcript has 6 exons.